Molecule: ribosomal RNA, 153 nt
Filed under: Enterococcus faecalis
Lineage: Bacteria; Bacillati; Bacillota; Bacilli; Lactobacillales; Enterococcaceae
Description: partial 23S ribosomal RNA
Rfam family: Bacterial large subunit ribosomal RNA
Source: RNAcentral
AAAGCAUCUAAGUGUGAAGCCCACCUCAAGAUGAGAUUUCCCAUUUCUUUAAGAAAGUAAGACCCCUGAGAGAUGAUUAGGUAGAUAGGUUGGAAGUGGAAGGCUAGUGAUAGUUGGAGCGGACCAAUACUAAUCGGUCGAGGACUUAACCAA